CCAGGGACGGGGAGUCUGGUCGGCUGCCGUCUAUCGGCUCGCACAGGGUCGGAUACGACUGAAGCGACUUAGCAGCAGUAGCAGCAGCAGCAAGUUCUGAGACUUCCUUUCAGCGGGUUUGGCAGCCAGAGGAAAGGCGUCGCUGCUCAGAUAUCAAGUUGGUGCUCCUUGAGCAGUGCACUAAGAAAUCUUCAAUCUGAGUCCUUGCCAGAGACCUUUUGUUCUGUGGUAAACCCGGAACCUUGCGUUUUCUGGUUUCCCCUGAGUAUUGUGCUUUCUUUUGCACAGAAACUUGAGCGAGCCCAGUUUUACAAAGAAAAGGCGUUUACGGAGGCAUUUGAAGCAGAGAAUGAGAGCGAGUUGGGGCCGAUUUUACAGAUUCGGGCUCGUUUCUGGCGCGAUGAAGGGACAGCUCACGGAAAGGGGAAUUUGGCGGCGGCGGUGGGACGACUGGACGGUGUUGGGGACGCCCUGCGGAGCAGGAGGUGCGAAUUUGACGCCUGGUCUGGGAAUUAAGAUCCCACAAGCAGUGCUGUGCAGUCAAAAAGAAGGGAAGACGAUGGAAGAGAGAGAGGGAGAGAGGAACCAGAGGAAGAAGAGGCAGUGUCCUGUACAAAGCGUUGAGGGCAUUUACCACGUCUGAUCUUUUCAUUUUCUUUGGGAAGAAUUAUAUAGGUGAAAUGAAAAUUGCCCAGAUUUCAUUGGCAAUGUGAAGCCUUUCUUUGUAAGACACAUAUGGUCUUGCAAAUAAAAGGGCAUUUCUUGUCU
Bubalus bubalis (water buffalo) is the source of this 768-nucleotide long non-coding RNA. RefSeq lists it as uncharacterized. The transcript has 2 exons. The record is from RefSeq and is a predicted model, not a curated record. NCBI's taxonomy places the organism in Eukaryota, Metazoa, Chordata, Mammalia, Artiodactyla, Bovidae.